Molecule: ribosomal RNA, 557 nt
Filed under: uncultured bacterium
Lineage: Bacteria
Description: partial 16S ribosomal RNA
Rfam family: Bacterial small subunit ribosomal RNA
Source: RNAcentral
UGGGGAAUAUUGCACAAUGGGCGAAAGCCUGAUGCAGCAACGCCGCGUGAGGGACGACGGCCUUCGGGUUGUAAACCUCUUUUAGCAAGGAAGAAGCGAAAGUGACGGUACUUGCAGAAAAAGCGCCGGCUAACUACGUGCCAGCAGCCGCGGUAAUACGUAGGGCGCAAGCGUUAUCCGGAAUUAUUGGGCGUAAAGAGCUCGUAGGCGGUUUGUCGCGUCUGCUGUGAAAACCCGAGGCUCAACCUCGGGCCUGCAGUGGGUACGGGCAGACUAGAGUGCGGUAGGGGAGAUUGGAACUCCUGGUGUAGCGGUGGAAUGCGCAGAUAUCAGGAAGAACACCGAUGGCGAAGGCAGAUCUCUGGGCCGUAACUGACGCUGAGGAGCGAAAGGGUGGGGAGCAAACAGGCUUAGAUACCCUGGUAGUCCACCCCGUAAACGUUGGGAACUAGUUGUGGGGUCCAUUCCACGGAUUCCGUGACGCAGCUAACGCAUUAAGUUCCCCGCCUGGGGAGUACGGCCGCAAGGCUAAAACUUAAAGGAAUUGACGGGGUCAU